Molecule: long non-coding RNA, 624 nt
Filed under: Gossypium barbadense (sea-island cotton)
Lineage: Eukaryota; Viridiplantae; Streptophyta; Magnoliopsida; Malvales; Malvaceae
Description: long non-coding RNA (GBAR_LNC008574)
Source: RNAcentral
AAGGUUCUGUCUUUUUUCAUUCUUAGUUUAAUUGUGGUCUAUGCCAUGUAACCUUCUAAACCGGGAAUAAAGAAAGGGCUCUCUCAUGAAGUGGGAUGUUGCAAGUUUCUGGAGGGAGUGAAUGGUUAACAUAACAAAGAUUAAACUUCAUGAAGUACAGUUUUGGUUGCAAUUUCUCCCAUAGGGCCGACCGUCCUAACUCUCUCCUCUUUACUAUCCAUAACUCCUUUGGCGUGUAACUUAUGAUGACAUCAUUGCUUAUAUGUGCAGUUCUACACAUACGAAAGCUUGAAGCAAGUCAUGUUGACAUCACUGCAAUCACCUACUCAACUGAACACAUUACAGACUGUUUGUCUCUGACAUCCUCCUUUUUUUAAAUAACCUUGAUUUUUUGGCAAUUCAAUCUUAGUAUUUUUGGCUUCAACCUUCCAGAAUUGCACUUACGUCAGAGGUAAUGAUAUGAUCUUCUUACUGUGCCGCUAGUUUGUGGUGCCCUAUCUGGUUCAACUGCGGCUUUCUUUACAACUCCCUUUGAUGUGGUGAAGACAAGAUUACAGACACAGGUCUGCGAUCUCUUUGUAUUAUUUCAUUCCCUGUUUUUGUCUGUUCACGAAAAGUCUGCCA